GAAACUGGCGCACGGGUGAGUAACGCGUGGGUAUCUACCUUGGGGUGGGGAAUAACCGCUGGAAACGGCGGCUAAUACCGCAUACGCCUUUAGAGGGAAAGCUCCGGCGCCCUAAGAGGAGCCCGCGUUGGAUUAGCUUGUUGGUGAGGUAACGGCUCACCAAGGCUACGAUCUAUAGCUGGUCUGAGAGGAUGAUCAGCCACACUGGGACUGAGAUACGGCCCAGACUCCUACGGGAGGCAGCAGUGGGGAAUAUUGGACAAUGGGCGCAAGCCUGAUCCAGCCAUGCCGCGUGAGUGAAGAAGGCCUUAGGGUUGUAAAGCUCCUUCACCUGCGAAGAUGAUGACGGUAGCAGGAGAAGAAGCCCCGGCUAACUCCGUGCCAGCAGCCGCGGUAAUACGGAGGGAGCUAGCGUUGUUCGGAAUUACUGGGCGUAAAGGGCGCGUAGGCGGUAUGCCAUGUCAGGGGUGAAAGGCCUGGGCUCAACCCAGGAACUGCCUUUGAAACUGGCAAACUAGAGUCCGAUAGAGGAUGGCGGAAUUCCCAGUGUAGAGGUGAAAUUCGUAGAU
This 569-nucleotide ribosomal RNA is filed under the name uncultured bacterium. RNAcentral's name for it is "bacterial SSU rRNA". It matches the Rfam family "Bacterial small subunit ribosomal RNA", at positions 91 to 695 of the family's 1533-position model. The record is from RNAcentral.